AAAGUGACAUUCCUAUGGGGAUAUCAAGUGGGUCAGCAGCUAACUAUUUGGUAGCUCAAGUGAAUGGGAUACUCUUGGAUGUGUAGAGGCCACUGAAAGGUGUGGGUGUGAUUUAAGUUCCUUAUGUAUGAUAGCGAUGAAGGGUAUGAUACUUUCAGGCAUUCGAUUGCUCUUACUGUUGGAUAGUCUGCCGGGAGGAUGUACAGCUGAGGUUGUGCAGUCUGUUCGUCCUUGAACUGCAAGGGAGAAGUAUAAUGACUUGACACUGAAUGGCACAUGUUUGCCGGGCAUCUCUCUGCAUGUUUAUCGACACACAGACAGUUUUAUUGGGCGAGAUUCUGCCGACGAUGUAGCAAAUUUCUAGCACACGGAUUUAUGAGUGGUGCAAAUUUGUACGUGGUGCUUGUGUACUGAUGUCAAUUGCUUAGCGUUCCAGCCAUUGUGGACAUUAAUUUAUGAUGCAAGCUUGCUUUUGUUUCUUUUUAUAUGAUGCAAGCUUCUAUUUUUUGCUUUCUGAUUCGUUUCUCUUUAUAUGAUGCAAGCAUGGUUUCUCCGAGUCGCCAUAGCAUGGUAGAUCAAUUCAUUCCAGCCACUGUGGACAUUAAUAUGAUGCACAUCUUUUUGGUAUAACAAUCAUUGGUGUCAGCCUUUUUUCUUGCUAUUAAUAAUUGAUAGUGUAUAUUUACUCCUAUUGCUAAUUACUGGACUGUGAUAUCUUUGUGGCAAGAAGAUAAUGGCAAUAUUUUAAAGCACUGGUUACUGAUAAGAACACAAUAUUCCAAUUUUCAGUUACUUGCUUUGAUUUUCCUAUGUGUACUUUCUAUUGAUCAAGAGAGUUGUUUAUAAUUACAAUUGGUUAGAGAAGUUUCGGUGCUUAUAGAUGGAUAGAAUAUACGUUUACUGACAGGCUAUGCUUUCUAUUAUUUGUGAAGUGAUAUAUGAUUGUUAGCUCAAUAUUCAGUGCUCAUAGAAAGUCAUUGUAUCAUCCGUGGAUACAGUUCAUCAUGUAUAAAUCACUACAAUUACACAAUUUCUUUUGUCAUUUCAUUGAUUGCCAUACUGCUAUUUUCAGUCUGCUGCAAUCCAUAUGCAUAGUCAGUCGAUUCUCUUUUUUACAUCUGUACCUGCACAAUAUGGCGACAACAUAGCACUGCCUUGAAUUGGAUUUAUUUCAUAGUCCCUGUCUGGUUGGGUGGAACAAUAAAAUAUUAAGUUGUGUAGGCAUAGCCAUUGAUUGAAUUAGUUGUUCUAGAAAAUUGUGGAUAGGAAAUUCUUUACGGAAAUCUGAAGGUUGCUUUUGCCUGUGGGGAUAAUCGAAUUGGCAUGCUUACCUCUGUGAACGCGUGAGUACCAAUCGUGAAUACCCACUUCCUUUGAUUAUAGGAAACCAAUGUUUCGUUAUUUUAUUGCAGUGAUUGAAUUAUGUCUUCCAUUUCUAAUGCUUGUGGUAAUUGAUGAAUUGCUUGCAUUAAGCGAGGUCAAGGAUGUGCAAUUUUCCAGCUGAAGACUUUAUUGUUCAAAUGGGAGUACAGGAAAUUACAAGCACUAGCAACUUUUAAUUGAUUUUUUGUGCUACUAAACAUGGUCAACAGACUAUACUGCGAAAACUGUCUUUUACCGUGAGCGCCCUGAAUACACACUGAUUGCAUCUCCUCCAGGUGUCAUCUUGCCAUGGGCAGCGCCCCGCACCGCCAUGUGCUAGCCAGCAAGAGAGGAAUAUGGCAUCAGAAUGCCCUGGAUUGCUGCACUAGGCACCAACGGCGAGUCGAAGAACAGCAAGGAGCGGCUGCUGUAGCUUUGGACCGCACGGCGCUGGCGACAACAGAAGAGGGCCAGCACAUCUUUGAGAGAAGCAGGCGAGGCGCCAUUGAGAACAGUACUUCAGAUCAUAGGCUUGUAGUACCUUCAGUUGACCUUUGUGACUUAAUUGGAUGAUUUAGAACUGUACUCUAAACCAUAAGUCUUUGACUUUAAGAUGCUCACUAUAAAGAGAAUCUCUCUCUGUGAAGUAGUUGCCUAUUUGACUGGCCUACCAGUUCUGCGAUAUUCGUUGGACAUUAGGAAGGAGCAUGUUAAUUUGGUUGAUGCACAAUUACAGAAGUUGGUAUACAGUGGCCGACUUAGCUGAUCAAGAGGAAUUGGACAGAUUUGCAAAGCUGCAUUGACAAGGCAUUUGACUGCAUUUAUAUACUCUACUUUCAAUUUUAUUUCAUGGGUGUCGGGCGUUGGCAGCUUGCUAGCUGCUGGGUGACACGGCCGCGGCAGCAGUUCAGUGUUCCUCUCAUAUUCAGUUAGGAUGAGAAGACUAGAUACUAUUCGGAAGUGGAUGUAGUACAUUCAGCCAGGUCCAGCCAGGUCUGAAGGCACGCUUAGUGUUUUUCCUGUUGAGUAAUUGAGGAUGGGGCUUUCCCGUUUAAAAAGAAGUUAAAUAUGUGAUUAUGCAUAAAAGGAAGUCCCCGGUCUAUUUUUGUUGUGGUAUCUCGGCUUAAUGAUUCUUUCAAGGGAAGACAAGAUGGAAAAGAAGCAUCACGAACUAA
Molecule: long non-coding RNA, 2537 nt
Organism: Lolium rigidum
Lineage: Eukaryota; Viridiplantae; Streptophyta; Magnoliopsida; Poales; Poaceae
Exons: 8
Source: RefSeq, a predicted model, not a curated record